GUGCCUGGGCCAGUGAAGGAGAAGGUGGAAUCAAAACUUGGGGAAUUGAAGGAGGCAAUUUCAGGUGGCUCAACCGAGGCCAUUAAGGAAGCAAUGGCUGCUCUAAAUCAAGAGGUGAUGCAACUGGGACAAUCCUUGUACAAUCAGCCUGGUGCUGGUGCUGCUCCUGGACCGGGUGCUAGCAGCGAAUCAGGGCCAUCGGAAUCAACAGGCAAAGGACCCGAAGGAGAUGUCAUUGAUGCCGAUUUUAGUGACAGCAAAUGAAAAGAUUAAAAUUUGUUUUCCCCCCUAUUCUGAAUAGAAAAUUUUGCUCUCAACGGGCUCGGAUUUGUAUUCCGAUUUGAUUUUUCUGGGGCAG
This 358-nucleotide long non-coding RNA is filed under the name Cucumis sativus (cucumber). RNAcentral's name for it is "long non-coding RNA (CSAT_LNC000596)". Lineage: Eukaryota; Viridiplantae; Streptophyta; Magnoliopsida; Cucurbitales; Cucurbitaceae. The record is from RNAcentral.